CUAUGCGCCUUGCCCAGCCCGCUCAGAAACUUAAAGGAAUUGACGGGGGCCCGCACAAGCGGUGGAGCAUGUGGUUCAAUUCGACGCAACGCGAAGAACCUUACCUGGGCUAGACAACAGUGGACCGUCCUAGAGAUAGGAUUUUCCCUUCGGGGACCGCUGGUUCAGGUGCUGCAUGGCUGUCGUCAGCUCGUGCCGUGAGGUGUUGGGUUAAGUCCCGCAACGAGCGCAACCCUCGUACUUAGUUGCCACCAUUCAGUUGGGCACUCUAGGUAGACUGCCGGCGUUAAGCCGGAGGAAGGUGGGGACGACGUCAAGUCAUCAUGGCCCUUAUGCCCAGGGCCACACACGUGCUACAAUGGGCGGCACAAAGGGUCGCGAACCCGCGAGGGGGAGCCAAUCCCAAAAAGCCGUUCUCAGUUCGGAUUGGAGUCUGCAACUCGACUCCAUGAAGUUGGAAUCGCUAGUAAUCGCGGAUCAGCUAUAGUGCGUUGAAUACGUUCUCGGGCCUU
RNAcentral lists this ribosomal RNA (512 nucleotides) under uncultured delta proteobacterium. RNAcentral describes it as "bacterial SSU rRNA". It matches the Rfam family "Bacterial small subunit ribosomal RNA", at positions 903 to 1382 of the family's 1533-position model. The record is from RNAcentral. Lineage: Bacteria; Deltaproteobacteria.